GACGAACGCUGGCGGCGUGCUUAACACAUGCAAGUCGAACGGAAAGGCCUCUUUCGGGGGGUACUCGAGUGGCGAACGGGUGAGUAACACGUGAGUAACCUGCCCUUGACUUUGGGAUAACUUCAGGAAACUGGGGCUAAUACCGGAUAGGAGCUCCUGCUGCAUGGUGGGGGUUGGAAAGUUUCGGCGGUUGGGGAUGGACUCGCGGCUUAUCUGCGUGUUGGUGGGGUAGUGGCUUACCAAGGCUUUGACGGGUAGCCGGCCUGAGAGGGUGACCGGCCACAUUGGGACUGAGAUACGGGCCAGACUCCUACGGGAGGCAGCAGGUGGGAAUAUUGCACAAUGGGUGGAAGCCUGAUGCAGCAACGCCGGGUGCGGGAUGACGGCCUUCGGGUUGUAAACCGCUUUCGCUCAUGACGAAGCUUUGUGUGACGGUAGUGGGUAAAGAAGCACCGGCUAACUACGUG
This 467-nucleotide ribosomal RNA is filed under the name uncultured bacterium. RNAcentral's name for it is "partial 16S ribosomal RNA". It matches the Rfam family "Bacterial small subunit ribosomal RNA", at positions 28 to 507 of the family's 1533-position model. The record is from RNAcentral.